AUUAUUUUGGCAGAUUAGUGUAAUGAAUUUAGAAUUCAUAAAUGUAAUUAUUUUA
Molecule: transfer RNA, 55 nt
Filed under: Abax carinatus
Lineage: Eukaryota; Metazoa; Arthropoda; Insecta; Coleoptera; Carabidae
Description: tRNA-Leu
Source: RNAcentral